This 2047-nucleotide unclassified non-coding RNA is filed under the name Hevea brasiliensis (rubber tree). Lineage: Eukaryota; Viridiplantae; Streptophyta; Magnoliopsida; Malpighiales; Euphorbiaceae. The record is from RNAcentral.
GGUUUAUCAUGCUUUAAAGAUACAAUGCAAAAGAUGGUCUUCAUACAUGCCAUAGAUAAUGCUGAUAGUAUAAAUCAUAACUCAUAGAACUCCAAUAUAGAUAAAAAAUAGUUAACAGCCACAUAACCAUAUACCUCAACCGGAUAGCCCAGCUUUCUUCCUCAGGUGCUCUUUGAAGUCCAUAAUAUCACCCUCCCACCGAGUCACAGUCUGAUUCUCACAGACCCAGAUCUCCUUCGCCACCUGAUUAAUCAACCGAAAAUCAUGGCUCACCAACACCAACCCACCAUCCCACUCGUUCAAAGCCUCAGCCAAUGAAUCAAUAGUCUCAAUGUCAAGAUGGUUAGUCGGCUCAUCAAGCAAUAGCAACUGUGGCUGCCUCCAGGCAAGCCAAGCGAAAAUCACCCUACUCCUCUGGCCGUCAGACAAGUUCUUCAUCGGCAUCACCUGAGCUUUUCCUGUCAGUCCAAAUCGACCAACCACGGCCCUCAUCUUCUCCUCCUCGAUCCCAGGGUAUUCCUUCAUCAUAUACUGAAGGGCCGACAAAUCCAUUUCUAGCUGCUCAGCCAGAUGCUGAUGGAACUGUGCAAUUCUCAGAUGAUUGUGACGACGAACCAUACCAUCAGUUGAAACAAGAUCACCAGUCAUCAGUUUCAGGAGUGUGCUCUUCCCUGCCCCAUUAGGACCCACCAGUGCUAUCCUAGAAUCAAGAUCCACCCCGAAGUCGAUGUUCUUGUAGAUGAGGCUGUCGGGAGUGUACCCGAAGGAGACUUCAACAAAUUGCAGUACCGGAGGGGGGAGUUUACCAACAUCGGUGAAGCGGAAGACUAAGACCUUGUCCCUAGCCACCUUCUCUGUAAGCCCGCCACGCUCCAUCUUGGCAAGGGUCUUCUCUUUGCUCUGAGCUUGACGGGCCAGCUUGGCAGAGCCGUGUCCGAACCGAGCAAUGUACUCCUUCAUGUUAGAUAUCUGCUCCUGUUCCCACUUAUACUGUUUCAUUUGAUUCUCCUCAAGCUCUGACCGGGUCUGGACAUACUGGUCAUAGUUACCGGUGUAGAACUUGAGCUUCUUGUUUUGCAUGUGUAUGAUGUUUGUGCAGACCCCAUUGAGAAAAUCUUGAGAGUGAGAUACGACUACAAGGAUUCGCUCAAAUUUCUUUAACAUUUCUUCCAACCAGACGCACGCUUCAAGAUCAAGAUGAUUUGUAGGCUCAUCAAGUAGAAGAAUAGUUGGGUUCAUAAACAGUGCUCGUGCUAGUGCAAUCCUCAUUCGCCAUCCACCAGAAAAGUCCCGGGUUUUCUUAGCUUGCAUUUGCUUGGUAAAACCAAGUCCAAACAAAAUCUCAGCAGCACGCUUCUCGGCUGUUGCUGCAUCCAACGCUUCUAAGCGCUCAUAAAUACGUUCUAAAGUAUCACCACCACCGCCGUCCUCGGCUGCUAAAAGUUCAGCUUCUUUUUCUAAUCUCAUCCUCUCCUCAUCACAGUUGAAGACGGCCUCAAGUGAAGACAUAUCUGAGGCUUCAAUCUCCCGGCUCAGGUGAUAAAUAUCCAUGUGAUCAGGAAUUGGCAGCUCUCUGUGUCCUAUAGCUGUAAGGAGUGUAGAUUUACCACAUCCAUUCAAACCAAGAAGACCAUAACGCCUGCCAUAGUUAAGCUCCAGUUCAGAAUCUACUAUGAGAUCAUGGCCAUGAAAAGUAACAGAUAAAGACUCUAUAUGAAUAUCUCUAGACAUGGGAUGAGAACAGAGCACCCCGGUACACGUCCGAUCCGAGAUCUGGAGCGCUCCAACACCAUUAGAAAUCUUCUCCACCCCAUUAGCACCCUUCGACGACCCCGCCGCCGACGAUUUCGCCCCCCUCUUCGCCGCCGCCGCCUUCUUCUUGUCUGCCGCCUUCUUCUUGCUCGCGUCCGACACCAUCUCUUCAAAAAAUUGAAACGGCGACGGAUUUAUUAGGGUUCCGGGUGAUAUUUGGUGAUGAGUCUGUCGAUCUGGGGCCGAUUUCGCUAAUCUCUCGCGGAGUUGGAGGCGGCGAGAGGGGAGGGAUCUG